AUUGAACGCUGGCGGCAGGCCUAACACAUGCAAGUCGAACGAGCGGCGGACGGGUGAGUAAUGUCUGGGAAACUGCCUGAUGGAGGGGGAUAACUACUGGAAACGGUAGCUAAUACCGCAUACCAUCAGAUGUGCCCAGAUGGGAUUAGCUAGUUGGUGGGGUAACGGCUCACCAAGGCGACGAUCCCUAGCUGGUCUGAGAGGAUGACCAGCCACACUGGACCUGAAGCGCGGUCCAGACACCUACGGGAGACAGCAGUGGGGAAUAUUGCACAAUGGGCGCAAGCCUGAGGCAGCCAGGCCGCGUGUAUGAAGAAGGCCUUCGGGUUGUAAAGUACUUUCGGCGGGGAGGCGUUACCCGCAGAAGAAGCACCGGCUAACUCCGUGCCAGCCGCCGCGGUAAUAC
RNAcentral lists this ribosomal RNA (406 nucleotides) under uncultured bacterium. Its description in RNAcentral is "partial 16S ribosomal RNA". It matches the Rfam family "Bacterial small subunit ribosomal RNA", at positions 30 to 526 of the family's 1533-position model. The record is from RNAcentral.